AUAAAAAAAAAAAAAAAAAAGAAUGGAGCUAGAACUAGUUCUGAGAGAUGGGCAUCAGAAUCCUCAGGCUGUGUCCUAGCAGCAGCAGCUUCAGGACAAGGAAUUCGCGUUAGGGAGGCAGCGCCGGGCGGCCACGCGACACCCCAGCUCCCUCUGCCCGCGCUACCCGCGGACCCGCCGCGCCGACGCCACCGCCCGGCUCCGGGACUGCAACGCCACCGCGACCUACCGCGAGACCCCGCCCAGUCGCUGCGGACACCCCGCCCCUUCCGGCGCUCACCCGGAAGUGGCCUCCCAAGACGGAAGUGUGCGAGUGGAGGGAGAGUCGGCGCCCGGGCGGGUCCCGUGCCCCGCGUCCCUCAGCGCCCUCGGGUGAGAGCGGGGGCCGCCGGGGCGUGUGCGGCCGCCGCGGCGACAGCCUCCAGCCCGCGGGACGUGCGCUCAGGUUCGUGGCCGGCGGUCCGAGCUGGGGCAGGUGAGGGUCGCGGGGAGCGACGCAGGGGGCGGGGGGGACGGACAGACAGACGCGGACGCGAGCCCGGCUCUCGGCCCCGCUGUAGCGAGCGUUUGCCUCCUGUGAAGGGCCGUGCUGACCGCGCGGCGACUCGCGGGGACGGCAGCGUCCCGGGGGCUCCGCGCGGCCUCACCCGGGACGAGAAGCUGCGGAGCUGGACGGGCCGGAGGCUCCUGCUCCGGACACAGCGCCCGGGAUGCUGGCGGCGCCCCGCGGCCCGGCCCGGCCCGUACUCCGAGACCAGGAGACCGCCCGCACCACGUCCCCCAGCCCUGGGCCCGAGGGGGAGCGGCCUCCGCGGGGGCCUCGCAGGCCAUGGCGGGAAUCUACGGGCACCCUGGACGCGUCGCAGAGCACCAGGCGUCUGUGCCCCUUCCCCGCCCUGGGGGCUGCGCACACGGCCAGCCCCUGCACGUCUGAGGGGCUGGCCUGAGCUGCCCCCACGCGCCCCGGGACUCCCACGUGUGACCGCUCCUCUCCGCACACACCCCCCGCACCAGCCUGUCCGGGCUCUAGCCCCAUCGCCAUCCCCGACACGUGGCGGCCUCGGCGCCUCAGGUGUGCGCAGCCCAACGUCCCGCGGGAGCACAAGAAAAGGCCUCGCUGCCCCCAGGCCCCCCUCCAGCGUGGACAGCUGCGUGGGGCGCUCCCCACCGCCCCCCCCCCCAUGGACAUCAUUUCCGGCCCGUCUCUGUGUCCGGCCGCUCUCCACGUGCUGCUCAGGGAGCUGCCCUGGCCCUCACACAUCCUCCUGGGGGAACACUCAGUGCCGUCCCCCAGCAGAGGAUGAGCUGUCCACCGGGUCAGGGGCCACACACAACACAGGGGCCUUCCUACCACCCCAACGCGGUGUGCAUGUCCUGCAUCCACAUGCCAGUGGUGCCGCCACCCCUGCCGAGUGGAACCAGGGUCAGCUCAGCAGGCACUGCAGAAUGCCAAGCCCUCAGAGCAGCCUGUGCCCCUACGAGCCCAAUGCCCAGACGGCCUCGUGGUCCAAUGCUUACAUCACCUCCCUUUGUGGUGCGUGUGCCUUGGGGUGUGGUCCCGUAGACUCCCUACUGACGUGCUGGGACCCCCAAGUGGCAUGA
This 1602-nucleotide long non-coding RNA is filed under the name Canis lupus familiaris (dog). RNAcentral's name for it is "lncRNA (ENSCAFG00000051294.1)". The record is from RNAcentral. Lineage: Eukaryota; Metazoa; Chordata; Mammalia; Carnivora; Canidae.